AGCAGCCGCGGUAAUUCCAGCUCCAAUAGCGUAUAUUAAAGUUGUUGCAGUUAAAAAGUUCGUAGUUGAAUUUCGGGGUUAGUAGGCUGGUCGUGCCACCGGUACGUACUGGUCUUACUGAUUCCUCCUUCCUGAUGAAUUGUAAUGCCAUUAAUUUGGUGUUGCAGGGAAUCUGGACUGUUACUUUGAAAAAAUUAGAGUGUUUAAAGCAGGCUAACGCUUGAAUACAUUAGCAUGGAAUAAUGAAAUAGGACGUUCGAUCCUAUUUUGUUGGUUUCUAGGAUUGAUGUAAUGAUUAAUAGGGAUAGUUGGGGGCAUUAGUAUUCAAUUGUCAGAGGUGAAAUUCUUGGAUUUAUUGAAGACUAACUACUGCGAAAGCAUUUGCCAAGGAUGUUUUCAUUAAUCAAGAACGAAAGUUAGGGGAUCGAAGACGAUCAGAUACCGUCGUAGUCUUAACCAUAAACUAUGCCGACUAGGGAUCGGAUGAUGUUAAUUUUUUAAUGACUCA
RNAcentral lists this ribosomal RNA (508 nucleotides) under uncultured Glomus. RNAcentral describes it as "SSU rRNA". It matches the Rfam family "Eukaryotic small subunit ribosomal RNA", at positions 569 to 1078 of the family's 1831-position model. Lineage: Eukaryota; Fungi; Glomeromycota; Glomeromycetes; Glomerales; Glomeraceae. The record is from RNAcentral.